RNAcentral lists this long non-coding RNA (256 nucleotides) under Elaeis guineensis (African oil palm). Its description in RNAcentral is "long non-coding RNA (EGUI_LNC038847)". Lineage: Eukaryota; Viridiplantae; Streptophyta; Magnoliopsida; Arecales; Arecaceae. The record is from RNAcentral.
UUCAUUUUUUUUUAUUGUUCCAGCAAGAUGGUUGGGAAAGGGACCUCUGGUCUUCCCCUCUCACCUAUUCCCUUUCUAUCUUUUUAUUUAUUUAUUUUUAUCAACCAUAGCAUCGAUAAAAAAUAUGAUCAAGAUCUUUUAAAAAAUAAAUAAAUAAAAAUUAUAAAUUAUUUAUGGAAUCUAGGAACAGAUCUAGUCGUGAUAAUUGCAAUCUCAAGCAAUGUUGUGGCUUUAGGACUCACCAUCAGCCCCCUCC